GACGAACGCUGGCGGCGUGCUUAACACAUGCAAGUCGAACGGAAAGGCCCUGCUUUUGUGGGGUGCUCGAGUGGCGAACGGGUGAGUAACACGUGAGUAACCUGCCCUUGACUUUGGGAUAACUUCAGGAAACUGGGGCUAAUACCGGAUAGGAGCUCCUGCUGCAUGGUGGGGGUUGGAAAGUUUCGGCGGUUGGGGAUGGACUCGCGGCUUAUCAGCUUGUUGGUGGGGUAGUGGCUUACCAAGGCUUUGACGGGUAGCCGGCCUGAGAGGGUGACCGGCCACAUUGGGACUGAGAUACGGCCCAGACUCCUACGGGAGGCAGCAGUGGGGAAUAUUGCACAAUGGGCGGAAGCCUGAUGCAGCAACGCCGCGUGCGGGAUGACGGCCUUCGGGUUGUAAACCGCUUUCGCCUGUGACGAAGCGUGAGUGACGGUAAUGGGUAAAGAAGCACCGGCUAACUACGUGCCAGCCGCCGCGGUAA
Molecule: ribosomal RNA, 484 nt
Filed under: uncultured bacterium
Lineage: Bacteria
Description: partial 16S ribosomal RNA
Rfam family: Bacterial small subunit ribosomal RNA
Source: RNAcentral